GGUGCCUCACUCGGAGGUAGGGCCUCUUUCAAGAGAGGCUUUUGUCCGAUUUUACAAACAUUCGUUAUUUACAGAAAAGUGAAAUAUUUCGUUCGGAUGCCAAUGGUGUUUCGUUAAAUACUUUUUUUUUCAAAAAUGGUUUUUAAUACUCUCCAGAAGAGAAAAAGAAAUAAAAAACGCCCGACCAAAAUAAGAAUCUGAGGAGACGAAUAUCUCUACGUGGCACACCAGCUUCCAUAUUUUAUUCACUGUCCAUAUAAGAAAUACUCAGUUUUCGUGGCGGAUUGAUCAGAUCGUUGCUUUAUUCACAUUCAAGUUUUAUGUGGAGGAAAUUUUACACUGUCACCAUCAAUCAUGACUUGGCACCCUUGCCAGUUGCCAAUUCCUAACCUCCCACUUGAUCUACAGAACACAAAAUUGUAUUCUGAUUUCUGGCAAUUCAAGUGCAAAAAUUCGAUUGUACAGAACUGAAAAUUUCUCCCUUCUUUCCAAAUGAGUGCCGCUACUGCGACAUUCACUCCUGUAGCAUUUAGCAACAGCAAUUAUAAUAAUCCAAUAUGGAGAAAAAAACCAAAUUCACUACCAAAUCCAAUAUGCAAACUCUCCAACUAUUCUUUUGUUACAAAGGCAACUUCAUCAUCUUCAAAUCCGGAAAGUGACAAUGGAAAGAAAACGAAGAAGAAGAAAAAGAAGUUAGUAAUUGAAAACAAAGAGAAAAAAGUGCAAGAGCAAGAACCAGUUGCCCAGGAGCAAGAGCAACAGUUACAAUCUUCUUCAGUUUCUGUUAUAAAGAGAUUGGAUGAUGUUAAUCCAGUGGGAUUAGGAAGACGUUCUCGUCAAGUGUUUGAUGAAGUGUGGCGAAAGUUUUCGGGAUUGGGGCAGAUUUCGCGAACAAUACGUUCUGAUGAUGAGAGUAGUUUGCUUAUUAGAGAAGGUGGACCGAUGUGUGAAUUCGCUAUACCUGGUGCUCAAAAUACUACUGUGCUUGUUGUUGGUGCGACUAGCCGUGUUGGUAGAAUUGUUGUGCGUAAGCUCAUGCUUAGGGGCUACACUGUCAAGGCUCUAGUAAGGAAAGCUGAACCGGAAGUGGUUGACAUGCUACCAAGGUCUGUGGAGCUGGUGACAGGGGAUGUUGGUGAUCCUUCCAGUCUUAAAAAUGCAGUGCAAGGUUGCAACAAAAUCAUCUAUUGUGCCACUGCUCGGUCUUCAAUCACUGGGGAUCUCAUCAGAGUUGAUCAUCAAGGGGUGUACAAUCUCACCAAAGCCUUGCAGGACUACAACAAUAAGCUAGCACAGCAACGAGCUGGAAAGAGUAGCAAAAGCAAGCUUUUAAUUGCAAAAUUCAAGUCUGAAGAUUCCUUGAAUGGGUGGGAAGUCCGUCAAGGGACAUAUUUCCAAGAUGUGGUUGUUUCUAAGUAUGAUGGAGGAAUGGAUGCCAAGUUUGAGUUUACUGAAAGCGGAGAGGCUAUUUUUUCAGGGUAUGUUUUCACAAGAGGAGGCUAUGUGGACUUGUCAAGAAAACUCUCACUCCCUUUGGGUUACACUCUUGACAGGUAUGAGGGUCUAGUAUUCUCUGUUGGUGGAAAUGGGAGAUCUUAUGUUGUAAUUCUUGAAGCUGGUCCCUCAGCAGACACAACACAAAGCAAACUGUAUUUUGCCAGAGUUAGCACAAAAGCAGGAUUUUGCAGGGUGAGAGUUCCAUUUUCUUCCUUUCGGCCAGUGAUGCCAGAUGAUCCGCCAUUGGAUCCGUUCCUUGUGCAUACCUUGACCAUUCGCUUUGAGCCUAGAAGACAGAGGCCAAUUGAAGGACCUACCGGGAUGAACCAAGAUUUGAGAAGCUUUCAACUAAUUAUGGAAUAUAUUAAGGCUUUGCCUGCUGGGCAAGAGACUGACUUUGUCUUAGUAUCAUGUACGGGGUCAGGAAUAGAGCCUACCAGACGGGAGCAAGUUUUGCGAGCAAAGAGGGCUGGUGAAGAUUCAUUAAGAAGGUCCGGCCUCGGAUACACAAUAAUUCGUCCAGGUCCAUUGAUGGAAGAACCAGGUGGUCAACGUGCCCUCAUAUUUGAUCAAGGAAAUCGCAUCUCUCAGGGAAUCAGUUGUGCUGAUGUGGCUGACAUUUGUGUGAAGGCAUUGCAUGAUUUGACAGCCAGAAACAAGAGCUUUGAUGUAUGUUAUGAAUAUGUCGCUGAGCCUGGAAAGGAGCUGUACGAGUUGGUGGCACAUUUACCUGACAAAGCAAACAACUACUUGACACCAGCACUCUCGGUACUGGAGAAAAAUACAUGAUCGUGCCUCCCAAGUUCAAGUUACAAUCUUGGUGCAAUCUCCAACAGAAGAAAAUGGAAGGAACCAAUGUCUUCAGCUUAAUUUUCCACCAAGGGGAGACAGAGAGAGAGAGAGAGAGACCAGGAUGAUCGCCACGUAUUUAUAUGUAAUUAAUAAUCAUGUUAGUUGGACUGCAAUUUUCCAAUUAUCGGAUAGCCCAAUCUAGGCCCUGUCAGAGCAGGCUGCAAAAAACUUGAGUGCACCCGUGUUCACAUCAAAUUAAUAGUUGCAUAUGAACCUUUAUAACUUAAGAAAGGUUGAGUGAUAUCUAUUUAACUCUGAGAUUACACUGCUUA
This is an RNA transcript of Capsicum annuum, 2621 nucleotides long. It is a transcript of the gene named protein HIGH CHLOROPHYLL FLUORESCENCE PHENOTYPE 173, chloroplastic, with no coding region annotated. The record is from RefSeq and is a predicted model, not a curated record. NCBI's taxonomy places the organism in Eukaryota, Viridiplantae, Streptophyta, Magnoliopsida, Solanales, Solanaceae. The transcript is spliced from 14 exons.